RNAcentral lists this ribosomal RNA (484 nucleotides) under uncultured bacterium. Its description in RNAcentral is "partial 16S ribosomal RNA". It matches the Rfam family "Bacterial small subunit ribosomal RNA", at positions 30 to 507 of the family's 1533-position model. The record is from RNAcentral.
AUUGAACGCUGGCGGCAGGCCUAACACAUGCAAGUCGAGCGGAUGAAGGGAGCUUGCUCCUGGAUUCAGCGGCGGACGGGUGAGUAAUGCCUAGGAAUCUGCCUGGUAGUGGGGGAUAACGUCCUGAAACGGGCGCUAAUACCGCAUACGUCCUGAGGGAGAAAGUGUGAGAUCUUCGGACCUCACGCUAUCAUAUGAGCCUAGGUCGGAUUAGCUAGUUGGUGGGGUAAAGGCCUACCAAGGCGACGAUCCGUAACUGGUCUGAGAGGAUGAUCAGUCACACUGGAACUGAGACACGGUCCAGACUCCUACGGGAGGCAGCAGUGGGGAAUAUUGGACAAUGGGCGCAAGCCUGAUCCAGCCAUGCCGCGUGUGUGAAGAAGGUCUUCGGAUUGUAAAGCCCUUUAAGUUGGGAGGAAGGGCAGUAAGUUAAUACCUUGCUGUUUUGACGUUACCAACAGAAUAAGCACCGGCUAACUUCGUG